This 468-nucleotide ribosomal RNA is filed under the name uncultured bacterium. RNAcentral describes it as "partial 16S ribosomal RNA". It matches the Rfam family "Bacterial small subunit ribosomal RNA", at positions 28 to 507 of the family's 1533-position model. The record is from RNAcentral.
GACGAACGCUGGCGGCGUGCUUAACACAUGCAAGUCGAACGGAAAGGCCCUGCUUUUGUGGGGUGCUCGAGUGACGAACGGGUGAAUAACACGAGAGUCACCUGCCCUAUCCUUCGGGAUAACUUCAAGAAACUGGGGCUACUACCGGUUAUUAGCGCCUGCUGCAUGGUGGGGGUUGGAAAGUUUCGGCGGAUGGAGAUGGACUCGCGGCUUAUCAGCUUGCUGGUGGGGUAGUGGCUUACCAAGGCUUUGACGGGUAGCCGGCCUGAGAGGGUGACCGGCCACAUGGGGACGGAGAUACGGCCCAGACUCCUACGGGAGGCAGCAGUGGGGAAUAUUGCACAAUGGGCGGAAGGCUGAUGCAGCAACGCCGGGUGCGGGAUGACGGCCUUCGGGUUGUAAACCGCAUUCGCCUGUGACGAAGCGUGAGUGACGGUAAUGGGUAAAGAAGCACCGGCUAACUACGUG